Molecule: ribosomal RNA, 207 nt
Filed under: uncultured bacterium
Lineage: Bacteria
Description: partial 16S ribosomal RNA
Rfam family: Bacterial small subunit ribosomal RNA
Source: RNAcentral
UCUCAGUUUGGAUCGAAGUCUGCAACCCGACUUCGUGAAGCUGGAUUCGCUAGUAAUCGCGCAUCAGCCAUGGCGCGGUGAAUACGUUCCCGGGCCUUGUACACACCGCCCGUCAAGCCAUGAAAGCCGGGGGUACCUGAAGUACGUAACCGCAAGGAUCGUCCUAGGGUAAAACUGGUAAUUGGGGCUAAGUCGUAACAAGGUAUC